GCAACCUGCCUGUAAGUUGGGGAUAACUCCGGGAAACCGGGGCUAAUACCGAAUGAUAAAGUGUGGCGCAUGCCACGCUUUUGAAAGAUGGUUUCGGCUAUCGCUUACAGAUGGGCCCGCGGUGCAUUAGCUAGUUGGUAGGGUAAUGGCCUACCAAGGCAACGAUGCAUAGCCGACCUGAGAGGGUGAUCGGCCACACUGGGACUGAGACACGGCCCAGACUCCUACGGGAGGCAGCAGUAGGGAAUCUUCCGCAAUGGACGAAAGUCUGACGGAGCAACGCCGCGUGUAUGAAGAAGGUUUUCGGAUCGUAAAGUACUGUUGUUAGAGAAGAACAAGGAUAAGAGUAACUGCUUGUCCCUUGACGGUAUCUAACCAGAAAGCCACGGCUAACUACGUGCCAGCAGCCGCGGUAAUACGUAGGUGGCAAGCGUUGUCCGGAUUUAUUGGGCGUAAAGCGCGCGCAGGCGGUCUUUUAAGUCUGAUGUGAAAGCCCCCGGCUUAACCGGGGAGGGUCAUUGGAAACUGGAAGACUGGAGUGCAGAAGAGGAGAGUGGAAUUCCACGUGUAGCGGUGAAAUGCGUAGAUAUGUGGAGGAACACCAGUGGCGAAGGCGACUCUCUGGUCUGUAACUGACGCUGAGGCGCGAAAGCGUGGGGAGCAAACAGGAUUAGAUACC
This 679-nucleotide ribosomal RNA is filed under the name Listeria monocytogenes. RNAcentral describes it as "bacterial SSU rRNA". It matches the Rfam family "Bacterial small subunit ribosomal RNA", at positions 121 to 786 of the family's 1533-position model. The record is from RNAcentral. Lineage: Bacteria; Bacillati; Bacillota; Bacilli; Caryophanales; Listeriaceae.